GACGAACGCUGGCGGCGUGCCUAAUACAUGCAAGUUGAGCGCUGAAGGUUGGUACUUGUACCAACUGGAUGAGCAGCGAACGGGUGAGUAACGCGUGGGAAUCUGCCUUUGAGCGGGGGACAACAUUUGGAAACGAAUGCUAAUACCGCAUAAAAACUUUAAAAACCAGGUUUAAGGUUGAAAGAUUCAAUUUCAUUACUCAAAGGAUAUUCCGCGUUGUAUUAGCUAGUUGGUGAGGUAAAGGCUCACCAAGGCGAUGAUACAUAGCCGACCUGAGAGGGUGAUCGGCCACAUUGGGACUGAGACACGGCCCAAACUCCUACGGGAGGCAGCAGUAGGGAAUCUUCGGCAAUGGACGAAAGUCUGACCGAGCAACGCCGCGUGAGUGAAGAAGGUUUUCGGAUCGUAAAACUCUGUUGGUAGAGAAGAACGUUGGUGAGAGUGGAAAGCUCAUCAAGUGACGGUAACUACCCAGAAAGGGACGGCUAACUACGUG
Molecule: ribosomal RNA, 496 nt
Filed under: uncultured bacterium
Lineage: Bacteria
Description: partial 16S ribosomal RNA
Rfam family: Bacterial small subunit ribosomal RNA
Source: RNAcentral